GCGAAGGGUACAUGGGAAUCCCUAGCCACCUGUGGUAUCUCCAGUUCAUGCAACUACAUGCACUGGCCCAUUCAGGGGAAACAAUGGAUCCAUAUAGCCCAUGGGUAGACUAUGACAGUAAAGCUACGCAACCCAGGUUAAAGUUUUAUAUGCAUGCUAAACCCGGUCCCCUGUCCUGGCAUGGUAUAUAUGUAAGUAUUUGGUUGUAUAUGGUUAGAUUUUAAAUAAUGGCACUAUUUUAUCCUUAUUCCUGAGUACAUAUGACAUGACCCAACCCCGAGCCUUAUUGUAAUAGACUUCCC
RNAcentral lists this long non-coding RNA (302 nucleotides) under Capsicum annuum. RNAcentral describes it as "long non-coding RNA (CANN_LNC015545)". Lineage: Eukaryota; Viridiplantae; Streptophyta; Magnoliopsida; Solanales; Solanaceae. The record is from RNAcentral.